UGGGGAAUAUUGCACAAUGGGGGAAACCCUGAUGCAGCAACGCCGCGUGAAGGAAGAAGGCCUUUGGGUCGUAAACUUCUGUCCUAAGGGAAGAUAAUGACGGUACCUUUGGAGGAAGCCCCGGCUAACUACGUGCCAGCAGCCGCGGUAAUACGUAGGGGGCGAGCGUUAUCCGGAAUUAUUGGGCGUAAAGAGUGCGUAGGCGGUUUUUUAAGCGCGGGGUGAAAGGCAAUGGCUUAACCAUUGUUAGCCCUGCGAACUGGGAGACUUGAGUGCAGGAGAGGAAAGCGGAAUUCCUAGUGU
RNAcentral lists this ribosomal RNA (303 nucleotides) under uncultured bacterium. RNAcentral describes it as "bacterial SSU rRNA". It matches the Rfam family "Bacterial small subunit ribosomal RNA", at positions 355 to 676 of the family's 1533-position model. The record is from RNAcentral.